Molecule: long non-coding RNA, 534 nt
Organism: Peromyscus eremicus (cactus mouse)
Lineage: Eukaryota; Metazoa; Chordata; Mammalia; Rodentia; Cricetidae
Exons: 2
Source: RefSeq, a predicted model, not a curated record
GGGGUGGAGAGGGUGGUUAAGGCGUACGGGGAGCAGGCAGAGGGGAGGAAUCACUUCCACUGUCCUGUCUCACAGCGGAGUACAGACUGGACAACAAUUCAGAAUCUUUCAAAAUAGCUGCUAGACUGUAUCAAAUGCCAGUAUCUGUUAUUUGUCUGAGCUCCCGAGAGAACUCUGGCACCUGGAGAGGUUCAGAGACAGCACAGGACACUGCGCUGAGCUUCGGGCAAAGCUCCACUUCCCCUCAGCAGUACCAGGUGAUUGCCCCACUGCUCACUAGAGGAGUGAAGUUUGGCUGCCAAUCAAAGGCCAGGCUGGAGAGACAGGCUUCUCUGUGGCGCUCAACCUUGGUGAGCGUCAGAAUCUCUCCAGGAGGCCUUCAAAGGAAGCUGAAAAGCUUUUCUGUCUGGGGCCACUGAGGCUGCUGUCCCCAUGCCCUAUAUUGUGCCAAGAGCUGAGGCACCAGUGACAUUUGACCCUGUCCUCCCUAGGAUUCUACUGUGACACUGUACUUCAUACAGACAGUUCUAUGUA